AGUGAACGCUGGCGGUAGGCCUAACACAUGCAAGUCGAACGGCAGCACAGUAAGAGCUUGCUCUUACGGGUGGCGAGUGGCGGACGGGUGAGGAAUACAUCGGAAUCUACUUUUUCGUGGGGGAUAACGUAGGGAAACUUACGCUAAUACCGCAUACGACCUACGGGUGAAAGCAGGGGAUCUUCGGACCUUGCGCGAUUGAAUGAGCCGAUGUCGGAUUAGCUAGUUGGCGGGGUAAAGGCCCACCAAGGCGACGAUCCGUAGCUGGUCUGAGAGGAUGAUCGGCCACACUGGAACUGAGACACGGUCCAGACUCCUACGGGAGGCAGCAGUGGGGAAUAUUGGACAAUGGGCGCAAGCCUGAUCCAGCCAUACCGCGUGGGUGAAGAAGGCCUUCGGGUUGUAAAGCCCUUUUGUUGGGAAAGAAAAGCAGCAGGUUAAUACCCCGCUGUUCUGACGGUACCCAAUGAAUAAGCACCGGCUAACUUCGUG
Molecule: ribosomal RNA, 492 nt
Filed under: uncultured bacterium
Lineage: Bacteria
Description: partial 16S ribosomal RNA
Rfam family: Bacterial small subunit ribosomal RNA
Source: RNAcentral